GGGGGCGUGGUGAAAGGGUAUCAUGGGAAUCUCCAAAAUUUCCGUUCCAGGUUCGAAUCCUGGCACCCCCG
RNAcentral lists this transfer RNA (71 nucleotides) under Parcubacteria group bacterium CG2_30_36_38. RNAcentral describes it as "tRNA-Trp". It matches the Rfam family "tRNA". Rfam says of the family: Transfer RNA (tRNA) molecules are approximately 80 nucleotides in length. RNAcentral also lists the same sequence under 5 other names. The record is from RNAcentral.